RNAcentral lists this ribosomal RNA (236 nucleotides) under uncultured Staphylococcus sp. RNAcentral's name for it is "partial 16S ribosomal RNA". It matches the Rfam family "Bacterial small subunit ribosomal RNA", at positions 104 to 334 of the family's 1533-position model. Lineage: Bacteria; Bacillati; Bacillota; Bacilli; Caryophanales; Staphylococcaceae. The record is from RNAcentral.
GGGUGAGUAACACGUGGAUAACCUACCUAUAAGACUGGGAUAACUUCGGGAAACCGGAGCUAAUACCGGAUAAUAUAUUGAACCGCAUGGUUCAAUAGUGAAAGACGGUUUUGCUGUCACUUAUAGAUGGAUCCGCGCCGCAUUAGCUAGUUGGUAAGGUAACGGCUUACCAAGGCGGCGAUGCGUAGCCGACCUGAGAGGGUGAUCGGCCACACUGGAACUGAGACACGGUCCAG